Molecule: ribosomal RNA, 915 nt
Filed under: uncultured marine archaeon
Lineage: Archaea
Description: bacterial SSU rRNA
Rfam family: Archaeal small subunit ribosomal RNA
Source: RNAcentral
UUCCGGUUGAUCCCGCCGGAGGCUACCGCUAUUGGAGUUCGAUUAAGCCAUGCGAGUCGCGAGUCUUAGGGACUCGGCGUACCGCUCAGUAACACGUGGGUAACCUGCCCUAUGCUGGGGGAUAACCUCGGGAAACUGAGAAUAAUACCCCAUAGUUCACCACGCCUGGAACGGUGGGUGGACCAAAGCUCCGGCGGCAUAGGAUGGGCCUGCGGCGUAUCAGGUUGUAGGGGGUGUAAUGUACCCUCUAGCCCUCUACGCGUACGGGUGUUGAGAGACAUCGCCCGGAGAUGGAUUCUGAGACACGAAUCCAGACCCCACGGGGUGCAGCAGGCGCGAAAACUUGGCAAUGCGAGAAAUCGUGACCAGGGAACUCCAAGUGCAUCGGGUAAGACCGAUGCUUUUCUUGACUCUUCAAAGGUCUUGGAAUAAGGGGUGGGUAAGGACGGUGCCAGCCGCCGCGGUAAUACCGGCGCCCCAAGUGGUAGUCGCUUUUAUUGGGCCUAAAACGUCCGUAGCCGGUCUGGUACAUUCGUGGGUAAAUCAACCAGCUCAACUGGUUGAAUUCUGCGAGCACGGCCAGACUUGGGACCGGGAGAGGUGUGGGGUACUCUCAGGGUAGGGGUAAAAUCCUGUCAUCCUGAGAGGACCACCUGUUGCGAAGGCGCCACACUAGAACGGAUCCGACGGUCAGGGACGAAGCCUAGGGGCACGAACCGGAUUAGAUACCCGGGUAGUCCUAGGUGUAAACGCUGUGGACUUGAUGUUGGGGGCGCUCCGAGCGCACUCAGUGUCGAAGCGAAGGUGAUAAGUCCACUGCCUGGGGAGUACGGUCGCAAGGCUGAAACUUAAAGGAAUUGGCGGGGGAGCACCGCAACCUGAGGAUUGUGCGGUUUAAUUGGAUUCAACGCCGGA